This is a non-coding RNA of Phalacrocorax carbo (great cormorant), 1760 nucleotides long. The record is from RefSeq and is a predicted model, not a curated record. NCBI's taxonomy places the organism in Eukaryota, Metazoa, Chordata, Aves, Suliformes, Phalacrocoracidae.
GCUGUGUUUGUAAGUCAGAGCAAGGUCACAUGCUAACCAAAAAUACAGUACAAAUAAACCCCAUCAACCACAGGAUCUUUCUAUUCAUGGCACUUUCUGCUUGGGAUUCACCAGUGCCAGUACGUCCUGUGGACCUUCCUAGGAUACGUUGUGCAGGCCGUCAGGCAAGUCAUUAUAAUUUCACUUAAUUCAUUGCAGUUAAGGAUGGAUUCUUUCGUCUCUACCCUGUUUCUCUCUAGUCACUAUAGGGCUUUAAGAGACACUCUGGAUCUAAAGAAAUUUUUUUGCCUCCCAGGAACACAAUAAGCCCCUGUCAAAACAAUCAGUAGUUUAUUCUGAUGAAUGUAUGCAAUUAUUAAAAACAGAACAACCUCUUGGAGAAAUGGAACUUCUAUCAAAAUCUUACAAAAUUCUCCUUCCAUUACCUUGUUUGGAAAUGAAAAAGGGUUGGGGUAGAGAAUGCUUUGUUUUCUUUUCUUUGGAAACAUCCUUAUUUGGCAUCUGUAAAGCAUUUACAUUCCCUAGUUCUGGAUCAAAGUCCUUUCAUGGCUCAUGUUACUUAUUUCCUUCUUUAACUGAAGCACAGAAAGAAAAACUGAUUUUUCCUCCCUCAGGCUUACAGUAUAAACUGUUGUAAAAAGUCAAAUCCCAGUUUUUAGCAAGGAACAAGAGAGAAUGAGGAAUAAAACAUCUUGAAAAGUAUAGUCUGAAGAACCACCGCCACCCACUUCAGGAUGAAUGCUGUCAUUAAAUGCAAGUCUCUAUGGAAGUUAUGAAACAUGUAAGGAAGAAUUUGGACGUCUGUCAGUUUUAACAUGGCUUGUGAUGAUCCAACUAUCUUGAGAUUUCAACAUUGCUGGUGUGCACCCAUCGGGGUCCUGUCCACUGUACCAGGCAGAAGCGAAGAUUACGCAAGUACUGAGAAGCAAAAAGACCAAGGAGAUGAAAUCUUCUAUUAAAAUAAUAAUGAUGUCCUGAUGCUACUGAGAUUAAAGUUUGGUGUUUUAUGUUAGUGCAAUCGUUCAAUGAAUUUGAUCUCGAGGAUGAAAGUAAAAAAGAGACUUCAAAUCUAGAGGUUACAAAUAACUAAUUGCUGUAGGUUAUUUAGGUGAAGCGAGUGUAUCAAGAGAGGUUGGUAUAGUCUCUGAACUAUCCAUAUCUUUCUAGUAAGUGUGACUCACUAGAUAAAUAAAACUUGUAAAAUUACCUGAUGUUGCACUCAGGGGUACAUAAGAUGUUUCAGUGUAACAGGAAUCUUACCCCUGGGAGACCAUUUGCUGAGCUCCUUGAAGGUCAGGCAUACUUCAAAAUUUAAGUCAGUGGAAAAUGAGGAUUUAGAUUAAAAAUAAUACUUCAAAGCUGGUGAAUCACUUCAGACCAUGAGUACUGAAGAUUCUGCUUUUAAAGUCCAAAGACUAUUGUCUUGAGUUAGGGCAGGAAGCAGGGGAUAAGAUGUGAAUACUUUAAACUCAUGCAUACCUACACUAUGCACAAGGAAGCCCUAAAAGUACUUUUUGUAUGCCUUUGUCUCUAUAGUUCCUGUAGAAGAUGGAGAUUUAAGAAAUGACACAGGAGAUUUAAGAUAUUGCGAUAUUGCAUAUACCCAUUAAUGGAAUAGGGCUGAGAACAGAAAAAUUAAAUACUCAACUUUCUUCUCGCUGACUUGUUUUGUUCAUCCUUUCCCCCCCAAUUUUGUUUUCUUCUUUUUUUAACUGCAGUACCUUAGCACCAGUUGGUUUAGAGUGUCUGUUUUGGUGAAA